This 724-nucleotide ribosomal RNA is filed under the name Acinetobacter baumannii Naval-81. Its description in RNAcentral is "bacterial SSU rRNA". It matches the Rfam family "Bacterial small subunit ribosomal RNA", at positions 28 to 746 of the family's 1533-position model. The record is from RNAcentral. Lineage: Bacteria; Pseudomonadati; Pseudomonadota; Gammaproteobacteria; Moraxellales; Moraxellaceae.
AUUGAACGCUGGCGGCAGGCUUAACACAUGCAAGCCGAGCGGGGGAAGGUAGCUUGCUACCGGACCUAGCGGCGGACGGGUGAGUAAUGCUUAGGAAUCUGCCUAUUAGUGGGGGACAACAUCUCGAAAGGGAUGCUAAUACCGCAUACGUCCUACGGGAGAAAGCAGGGGAUCUUCGGACCUUGCGCUAAUAGAUGAGCCUAAGUCGGAUUAGCUAGUUGGUGGGGUAAAGGCCUACCAAGGCGACGAUCUGUAGCGGGUCUGAGAGGAUGAUCCGCCACACUGGGACUGAGACACGGCCCAGACUCCUACGGGAGGCAGCAGUGGGGAAUAUUGGACAAUGGGGGGAACCCUGAUCCAGCCAUGCCGCGUGUGUGAAGAAGGCCUUAUGGUUGUAAAGCACUUUAAGCGAGGAGGAGGCUACUUUAGUUAAUACCUAGAGAUAGUGGACGUUACUCGCAGAAUAAGCACCGGCUAACUCUGUGCCAGCAGCCGCGGUAAUACAGAGGGUGCGAGCGUUAAUCGGAUUUACUGGGCGUAAAGCGUGCGUAGGCGGCUUAUUAAGUCGGAUGUGAAAUCCCCGAGCUUAACUUGGGAAUUGCAUUCGAUACUGGUGAGCUAGAGUAUGGGAGAGGAUGGUAGAAUUCCAGGUGUAGCGGUGAAAUGCGUAGAGAUCUGGAGGAAUACCGAUGGCGAAGGCAGCCAUCUGGCCUAAUACUGACGC